GCAAGUCGACGGCAGCAUGAUCUAGCUUGCUAGAUUGAUGGCGAGUGGCGAACGGGUGAGUAAUACAUCGGAACGUGCCCUGUAGUGGGGGAUAACUAGUCGAAAGAUUAGCUAAUACCGCAUACGACCUGAGGGUGAAAGUGGGGGACCGCAAGGCCUCAUGCUAUAGGAGCGGCCGAUGUCUGAUUAGCUAGUUGGUGAGGUAAAGGCUCACCAAGGCGACGAUCAGUAGCUGGUCUGAGAGGACGAUCAGCCACACUGGGACUGAGACACGGCCCAGACUCCUACGGGAGGCAGCAGUGGGGAAUUUUGGACAAUGGGCGAAAGCCUGAUCCAGCAAUGCCGCGUGUGUGAAGAAGGCCUUCGGGUUGUAAAGCACUUUUGUCCGGAAAGAAAUCGCACUUAAUAAUACUAGGUGUGGAUGACGGUACCGGAAGAAUAAGGACCGGCUAACUACGUGCCAGCAGCCGCGGUAAUACGUAGGGUCCAAGCGUUAAUCGGAAUUACUGGGCGUAAAGCGUGCGCAGGCGGUUGUGCAAGACCGAUGUGAAAUCCCCGAGCUUAACUUGGGAAUUGCAUUGGUGACUGCACGGCUAGAGUGUGUCAGAGGGGGGUAGAAUUCCACGUGUAGCAGUGAAAUGCGUAGAGAUGUGGAGGAAUACCGAUGGCGAAGGCAGCCCCCUGGGAUAACACUGACGCUCAUGCACGAAGCGUGGGGAGCAUACAGGAUUAGAUACCCUGGUAGUCCUCCGCUCUAAAACGAUGUCAACUAGUUUGUUGGGGGAUUCUUUUCCUUCGUAACGGUGGACAUGCGCGUGAAAGUUGACCGCCUGGGGAAGUACGGCCGUCUAAGAUUCAAA
RNAcentral lists this ribosomal RNA (860 nucleotides) under Ralstonia pickettii. RNAcentral's name for it is "bacterial SSU rRNA". It matches the Rfam family "Bacterial small subunit ribosomal RNA", at positions 57 to 905 of the family's 1533-position model. Lineage: Bacteria; Pseudomonadati; Pseudomonadota; Betaproteobacteria; Burkholderiales; Burkholderiaceae. The record is from RNAcentral.